GACGAACGCUGGCGGCGUGCUUAACACAUGCAAGUCGAACGGAAAGGCCCUGCUUUUGUGGGGUGCUCGAGUGGCGAACGGGUGAGUAACACGUGAGUAACCUGCCCUUGACUUUGGGAUAAAUUCAGGAAACUGGGGCUAAUACCGGAUAGGAGCUCCUGCUGCAUGGUGGGGGUUGGAAAGUUUCGGCGGUUGGGGAUGGACUCGCGGCUUAUCAGCUUGUUGGUGGGGUAGUGGCUUACCAAGGCUUUGACGGGUCGCCGGCCUGAGAGGGUGACCGGCCUCAUUGGGACUGAGAGACGGCCCAGACUCCUACGGGGGGCAGCAGUGGGGAAUAUUGCACAAUGGGCGGAAGCCUGAUGCAGCAACGCCGCGUGCGGGAUGACGGCCUUCGGGUUGUAAACCGCUUUCGCCUGUGACGAAGCGUGAGUGACGGUAAUGGGUAAAGAAGCACCGGCUAACUACGUG
This 468-nucleotide ribosomal RNA is filed under the name uncultured bacterium. Its description in RNAcentral is "partial 16S ribosomal RNA". It matches the Rfam family "Bacterial small subunit ribosomal RNA", at positions 28 to 507 of the family's 1533-position model. The record is from RNAcentral.